This 497-nucleotide ribosomal RNA is filed under the name uncultured bacterium. RNAcentral describes it as "partial 16S ribosomal RNA". It matches the Rfam family "Bacterial small subunit ribosomal RNA", at positions 28 to 507 of the family's 1533-position model. The record is from RNAcentral.
GACGAACGCUGGCGGCGUGCCUAAUACAUGCAAGUAGAACGCUGAAGCGAGGAGCUUGCUCUUCUUGGAUGAGUUGCGAACGGAUGAGUAACGCGUAGGUAACCUGCCUUGUAGCGGGGGAUAACUAUUGGAAACGAUAGCUAAUACCGCAUAACAAUGGAUGACACAUGUCAUUUAUUUGAAAGGGGCAAUUGCUCCACUACAAGAUGGACCUGCGUUGUAUUAGCUAGUAGGUGAGGUAAUGGCUCACCUAGGCGACGAUACAUAGCCGACCUGAGAGGGUGAUCGGCCACACUGGGACUGAGACCCGGCCCAGACCCCUACGGGAGGCAGCAGUAGGGGAUCUUCGGAAAUGGGGGCAACCCUGACCGAGCAACGCCGCGUGAGUGAAGAAGGGUUUCGGAUCGUAAAGCUCUGUUGUAAGUCAAGAACGGGUGUGAGAGUGAAAAGUUCACACUGUGACGGUAGCUUACCAGAAAGGGACGGCUAACUACGUG